Molecule: ribosomal RNA, 301 nt
Filed under: uncultured bacterium
Lineage: Bacteria
Description: partial 16S ribosomal RNA
Rfam family: Bacterial small subunit ribosomal RNA
Source: RNAcentral
CAGUCGCCGCGGGAAUACGUAGGGUGCGAGCGUUAAUCGGAAUUACUGGGCGUAAAGCGUGCGCAGGCGGUUGUGUAAGACAGGUGUGAAAUCCCCGGGCUUAACCUGGGAACUGCGCUUGUGACUGCACAGCUAGAGUAUGGCAGAGGGGGGUGGAAUUCCACGUGUAGCAGUGAAAUGCGUAGAGAUGUGGAGGAACACCGAUGGCGAAGGCAGCCCCCUGGGCCAAUACUGACGCUCAUGCACGAAAGCGUGGGGAGCAAACAGGAUUAGAUACCCGGGUAGUCCCUGUCUCUUAUAA